CCCCAAGAGAAAGCAUGAGGGACUUGUGAUGGUGCCUUUUGGGAGUGGAGGCAACAAAAAAAUCCGUAGCGUUCUUGCUCUCCAUGGCUCCCCUUACUGCCACUGCCUCGUGUUUCAACGGGAUUGGUGGUGGGAACACGACCCCGGUGCAGUCUGUGCCAAGGAAUAUUUUUGUUGGAGAGCAUUGCAUGCUUUGAUGCUUAGCUUAAUAAGCAUGUAAUGUGGUCCUCAGUAAUGUGAGAAUCUGCAUGACUCUCGGCAACGGAUAUCUUGGCUCUUGCAUCGAUGAAGAACGUAGCAAAAUGCGAUACUUGGUGUGAGUUGCAGAAUCCCGUGAACCAUCAAGUUUUUGAACGCAAGUAGCGCCCAAGGACUUCUGGUUGAGGGCACGCCUGCCUGGGCGUCACGCUUAGCUUCACUUUAUGCACUAGUUAGCAUGCUCACAGUGGUUUUAAUUUGUGCUUGGAUGUGUUGAUUGGCCUCUUAUGCCUUGUGGCAUUGUGGGCUGAAGUGUGGGAUUUGCCGCUAGUUUUGGACGUGGUGAGUGGUGGAUGGACUUUACGCACGAUGCCUCUUUCCGCGGACCAAUAGCUUAUUAAGCAAAAAUAUGAACCAAAGGAGUUGGCACUUUAUUGGGUCUUCAAACCAUUGACUCCAGGUCAGGCGGGAGCACCUGCUGAGCUUAAGCAUAUCAA
The sequence is a ribosomal RNA, 695 nucleotides long. The stretch from base 251 to 406 matches the Rfam family "5.8S ribosomal RNA".